Molecule: long non-coding RNA, 645 nt
Filed under: Strongylocentrotus purpuratus (purple sea urchin)
Lineage: Eukaryota; Metazoa; Echinodermata; Echinoidea; Camarodonta; Strongylocentrotidae
Description: uncharacterized LOC115929843
Source: RNAcentral
UUUUGCAUUCCCAGAAUUCCCUACGAUUUGAGCACGAAAAUGGCGGUUGUAUGAACUGCAACUUUCAAGUUAUUCAAUUACGAACAAUGAAACAUUUUUCUUUUAAGUGAAUUUCUAUUAUAAUAGAAGUUUGUCAAGUACAUCUCAGUGAAGCAGAAAAUCUUCAGGCGACCAUUGGCAUCGAAGUGAUACCCUAUGAUAUCAAGAAAAAUCCUAUGGAACAAAGAAGCAGAUAAUGAUGACAGAAGUGCAACAAAGAGCACCAGGACCUGAUCAUCAAAUGCUAUGGUGUAGAUCUAAUCAAGACAGGACACCUAAGUUGAACUCUGGCAAGGUUGUCCCUUGCAGAAGGUUUGAUACCCAGGCUUCUUUUGUACAAGUCCCUAGUCCACCCUCAUCUUGAGAACUGUUCCUGUGUCUGGGAUCUCUACAACAUCUCAGAUGUCCAGGACGCUACUUCACAAUGGGGACCACAAGUGAACCAGCAGUUUGACUGAGAUGAUCAGCACCUUUAGUUGCCUACUAUAUCUACAACUACAAGGCACUCUGCAAGAAGACUGGGAAUGGUGCACAAGAUAGUCGAUGGUCUCUCCGCUCUCCCUUGAAAAUUUUCCCACUGCACUACUUAUAGCUACUUGCGCCCUC